RNAcentral lists this long non-coding RNA (817 nucleotides) under Nicotiana benthamiana. RNAcentral describes it as "long non-coding RNA (NBEN_LNC027996)". Lineage: Eukaryota; Viridiplantae; Streptophyta; Magnoliopsida; Solanales; Solanaceae. The record is from RNAcentral.
AGCAAACCACUUUAAAAACUUAUUACUAAACAUGAAAACAUUCAGUCGAAGCACCCAAAUAGUUAAUUUCUAACUAUAUGUUUUCGAUGGCAUUUACACUAAAAUAUAAAAUUUGGGAUAUAUUUUGAGACAUAAAAGUGAGAGUGUACAACCAUUUUAAAUCUUCAAAGACAAAGCGAGAAGAAAAUUUUAGCACUGAUUUUUUGCGAUGCGACGAACUUGGACGCGUCGAAUAGAUCUAUAGAUUAUGGCUUCAGACUUGAACUCGAGCUUAUAGACGUGAACUUUAUAAUUUCCAAAAAAGUGCAAAGAAAAAUUCUCUGUUAUGGCAACGUGUAACAGAGGCGACACAACUAAGAAUUUGGAGUAUUUUGAAGAAUAAAAUUGUUUGAAGAUUGCUCGAAAAGUUGUCCUAAAUUAAUACGGAACCUCAGUAUUUAUAGAAGAAUUACUAGGGCCUUUCUAGGUUUUGUGGGCGGGAUUAUUGAAGGGUUAGGGUUUCAAACUGCUAAAGACCCGUUUGAAAUAAUGUGUAGCAGGAAGAAAAGGACGAUAUGGGCGGUUGCCAAAGUUGUGAAAUCGUGGAGAAAACAAAAGGAGAACCCUUUUUUACCUUUGUCAAUUUCAUUGUGAAUGGCAAACGAAUUUGAAUUUUUCAAUCAAAGUGCUUGAGUUUGCAGAUAAUUCCUUAAAAUGGCCAUACAAAUUUCUGAUUAUAAGAUAUGAGAGUCAAAUUUUGCAAAGAAGAAAGAAAAAGCCAAAACCCUCUGCUAUGGCAGAGCAAAAAAGAAGCGUUCUUUUCUUUGAAAGAGGGAAA